GUAUUUUGAAUUAAGUAUUCAUAAUAUUUUUCAGACAAAAAUCGUUAAAAAUAAAGGGUUGAUGUAUAAAAAGUCCUAAUCGACGAGCAGAAACGAAUUUCUGUCCGCACAAAAAAGGACUCAAACAUUGCACACAAGGUGGAUAUGGAUUUUUUUAAAGAGUGCCAUAAAACACUCGUUUAUGAAUGAUCCUUCCGCAGGUUCACCUACGGAAA
RNAcentral lists this unclassified non-coding RNA (215 nucleotides) under uncultured fungus. RNAcentral's name for it is "sequence contains ITS1". The record is from RNAcentral. Lineage: Eukaryota; Fungi.